AUCCUUAAUUGCAAACCCGCUGAAAAGCGGCGGCGCAAAGCUAAAGGGGCUAAGGCAAAAACAUUGCUAAUGCCAGCCAGCUGCCGGG
Molecule: non-coding RNA, 88 nt
Filed under: unclassified sequences
Description: c-di-GMP sequence
Rfam family: c-di-GMP-I riboswitch aptamer
About the family: GEMM was predicted in a large-scale screen for bacterial structured RNA regulatory elements. Genes associated with GEMM are involved in a diverse array of functions, including chemotaxis regulation, signal transduction, secretion and chitin.
Source: RNAcentral